CCUACGGGGGGCAGCAGUAGGGAAUCUUCCGCAAUGGGCGAAAGCCUGACGGAGCAACGCCGCGUGAGUGAAGAAGGAUUUCGGUUCGUAAAGCUCUGUUGUUAGGGAAGAAUGAUUGUGUAGUAACUAUACACAGUAGAGACGGUACCUAACCAGAAAGCCACGGCUAACUACGUGCCAGCAGCCGCGGUAAUACGUAGGUGGCAAGCGUUGUCCGGAAUUAUUGGGCGUAAAGCGCGCGCAGGGGGUUUAAUAAGUCUGAGGUGAAAGCCCCCGGCUCAACCGUGGAGGGUCAUUGGAAACUGUUAAACUUGAGUGCAGGAGAGAAAAGUGGAAUUCCUAGUGUAGCGGUGAAAUGCGUAGAGAUUAGGAGGAACACCAGUGGCGAAGGCGGCUUUUUGGCCUGUAACUGACACUGAGGCGCGAAAGCGUGGGGAGCAAACAGGAUUAGAUACCCUGGUAGUC
Molecule: ribosomal RNA, 465 nt
Filed under: uncultured Staphylococcaceae bacterium
Lineage: Bacteria; Bacillati; Bacillota; Bacilli; Caryophanales; Staphylococcaceae
Description: bacterial SSU rRNA
Rfam family: Bacterial small subunit ribosomal RNA
Source: RNAcentral